AGUAAAGUCAGCUAAACAAGCUAUUAGGCCCAUACCCUAAUCAUGAUGGUGAAACUCCCUCCUCUACUA
Molecule: transfer RNA, 69 nt
Filed under: Benthosema pterotum (skinnycheek lanternfish)
Lineage: Eukaryota; Metazoa; Chordata; Actinopteri; Myctophiformes; Myctophidae
Description: tRNA-Met
Source: RNAcentral